UUGGACACACACACCCUACUGGCAUACGGCUCAGGAGGGCUUAGUAGGAGGUACAUUGGACACACGCCCCCUACUGGCAUACGGCUCAGGAGGGCUCAGUAGGAGGUACAUUGGACACAUGCCCCCUACUGGCAUACGGCUCAGGAGGGCUCAGUAGGAGGUACAUUGGACACACACACCCUACUGACAUACGGCUCAGGAGGGCUUAGUAGGAGGUACAUUGGACUCUUGACCCCUACUGACAUACGGCUCAGGAGGGCUUAGUAGGAGGUACAUUGGACACAUGCCCCCUACUGGCAUCUGGCUCAGGAGGGCUCAGUAGGAGGUACAUUGGACACACGCCCCCUACUGGCAUACGGCUCAGGAGGGCUCAGGGGGGCUCAGUAGGAGGUACAUUGGACACACAUCUCUAUUGGCUGGUUUGUUUGUUGUUUAACCUACAGAAGACACGCUACUACUUUUUUAAUUAAAAUAGGGCAUGCUAAAAGAGCUAAUGUUUCUAAACUGUGAACAACAUUAACAUUCAAAUUCAUGCUUAUGUUGUUGUUUCUUAAUGAGAGAGAAAAUAUAUAAAAAAUAUAACAAUAUAUAAAAACAAACAUAAAUAGUUCAGUUAAGAGAAACAAAGUUAAGACAGGUAGAGCUCACAUCAGAACAAGUCAAUGUUAACAGAUACAUUAAAUAUGAAUAUUGAAUAAAUGGCUAAGUGAUUAGAUAACCAAAGACUGUUUUCCUCACAAUUUCAAUGAAAUAUAUUUGUGUACACAUUCAAACCAAAUAUAGCAGGAGGGAGAUAACUCAUU
Long non-coding RNA from Haliotis rubra (blacklip abalone), 803 nucleotides. RefSeq lists it as uncharacterized. The transcript is spliced from 6 exons. The record is from RefSeq and is a predicted model, not a curated record. Lineage: Eukaryota; Metazoa; Mollusca; Gastropoda; Lepetellida; Haliotidae.